GAUUGGGGCAAUACUUGCCCCAAUCAAGAAUCGCUAUUUAUAUAGUUUAAAAAAAACCCUACAUUUUCAUUGUAAAAUUAAAUCAUUCUUUGUAA
RNAcentral lists this transfer RNA (95 nucleotides) under Dilophotes sp. Ya LB-2014. RNAcentral describes it as "tRNA-Glu". The record is from RNAcentral. Lineage: Eukaryota; Metazoa; Arthropoda; Insecta; Coleoptera; Lycidae.